This 72-nucleotide transfer RNA is filed under the name Danionella translucida. It matches the Rfam family "tRNA". Rfam says of the family: Transfer RNA (tRNA) molecules are approximately 80 nucleotides in length. Lineage: Eukaryota; Metazoa; Chordata; Actinopteri; Cypriniformes; Danionidae. RNAcentral also lists the same sequence under 1 other name. The record is from Rfam by way of RNAcentral.
UCCCUGAUGGUCUAGUGGUCAGAAUUCGGUACUCUCACCGCUGCGCCCCGGGUUCGAUUCCUGGUCAGGGAU